RNAcentral lists this ribosomal RNA (390 nucleotides) under uncultured bacterium. RNAcentral's name for it is "bacterial SSU rRNA". It matches the Rfam family "Bacterial small subunit ribosomal RNA", at positions 370 to 772 of the family's 1533-position model. The record is from RNAcentral.
AAUGGGCGAAAGCCUGAUGCAGCGACGCCGCGUGAGGGACGACGGCCUUCGGGUUGUAAACCUCUUUUAGCAGGGAAGAAGCGCAAGUGACGGUACCUGCAGAAGAAGCACCGGCCAACUACGUGCCAGCAGCCGCGGUAAUACGUAGGGUGCGAGCGUUGUCCGGAAUUAUUGGGCGUAAAGAGCUUGUAGGCGGUUUGUUGCGUCUGCAGUGAAAAUCCGGGGCUCAACUCCGGACUUGCUGUGGGUACGGGCAGACUAGAGUGUGGUAGGGGAGACUGGAAUUCCUGGUGUAGCGGUGGAAUGCGCAGAUAUCAGGAGGAACACCGAUGGCGAAGGCAGGUCUCUGGGCCAUAACUGACGCUGAGAAGCGAAAGCAUGGGGAGCGAA